UACGUAGUUGGCAAGCGUUAUCCGGAUUUAUUGGGCGUAAAGGGAACGCAGGCGGUCUUUUAAGUCUGAUGUGAAAGCCUUCGGCUUAACCGGAGUAGUGCAUUGGAAACUGGGAGACUUGAGUGCAGAAGAGGAGAGUGGAACUCCAUGUGUAGCGGUGAAAUGCGUAGAUAUAUGGAAGAACACCAGUGGCGAAAGCGGCUCUCUGGUCUGUAGCUGACGCUGAGGUUCGAAAGCGUGGGUAGCAAACAGG
This 253-nucleotide ribosomal RNA is filed under the name uncultured bacterium. RNAcentral's name for it is "partial 16S ribosomal RNA". It matches the Rfam family "Bacterial small subunit ribosomal RNA", at positions 524 to 776 of the family's 1533-position model. The record is from RNAcentral.